This 808-nucleotide ribosomal RNA is filed under the name uncultured delta proteobacterium. RNAcentral's name for it is "bacterial SSU rRNA". It matches the Rfam family "Bacterial small subunit ribosomal RNA", at positions 8 to 796 of the family's 1533-position model. The record is from RNAcentral. Lineage: Bacteria; Deltaproteobacteria.
AGAGUUUGAUCCUGGCUCAGAAUCAAUGCUGGCGGCGUGCCUAACACAUGCAAGUCGAACGCGACUGGGGCUUCGGCCUCAGUUGAGUGGCGAACGGGUGAGUAACACGUGGGUGACCUACCUUCGAGUGGGGGAUAACGUCCCGAAAGGGACGCUAAUACCGCAUAACAUCCUGCCUUUGAACAGGCGGAGAUCAAAGCUGGGGAUCGCAAGACCUGGCGCUUGAUGAGGGGCCCGCGUCCGAUUAGCUAGUUGGUGAGGUAAUGGCUCACCAAGGCAACGAUCGGUAGCCGGCCUGAGAGGGCGGACGGCCACACUGGGACUGAGACACGGCCCAGACUCCUACGGGAGGCAGCAGUGGGGAAUAUUGGACAAUAGGGGAAACCCUGAUCCAGCGACGCCGCGUGGGUGAUGAAGGCCUUCGGGUCGUAAAGCCCUGUCUGGGGGGACGAACCCUCCGCCGGUGAACAAUCGGCGGAGCUGACGGUACCCCCGAAGGAAGCACCGGCUAACUCUGUGCCAGCAGCCGCGGUAAGACAGAGGGUGCGAGCGUUGUUCGGAAUUACUGGGCGUAAAGGGCGCGUAGGCGGUCUGUUAAGUUCGGUGUGAAAGCCCUCGGCUCACCCGAGGAAGUGCGCCGGAUACUGGCAGACUCGAGUACCGGAGAGGAGGGUGGAAUUCCUGGUGUAGCGGUGAAAUGCGUAGAUAUCAGGAGGAACACCGGUGGCGAAGGCGGCCCUCUGGACGAGUACUGACGCUGAGGCGCGAAAGCGUGGGGAUCAAACAGGAUUAGAUACCCCGGUAGUCC